GGGUACAUGGCGUAGUGGUUUAAGUGUUGGAGUACAACUCUGGAGACCAGGGUUCGAUUCCCUGUCAGCCA
RNAcentral lists this transfer RNA (71 nucleotides) under Phrynosoma platyrhinos (Desert horned lizard). RNAcentral describes it as "tRNA-OTHER". Lineage: Eukaryota; Metazoa; Chordata; Lepidosauria; Squamata; Phrynosomatidae. The record is from RNAcentral.